CCACCACCAACAAAAUUGUACUCAAUGGUUACGCGUUGACUUUCGUCAAAAACAUUGUGGAAAUGUGUUUUCUCUCUCGUUACAUAAGUACCUCUGUAGUAACUUUCAGUUUGCCUCUGGGCCCACGGAAACCUCAAAUAUUUUCCUAUCUGGCCCUUUUUGGAAAGAGUUUCCCUGCACUGGCCCUGGACUUAGGUUUCUGAAUGAGGAAAUUGCACCGUUAAAGAGAAUUAACUGCCUUUUGGCUCCGGCCAGCAGUGAUGUUUUCCCCAUUUCAGAAGAGGAGAGGGGAAAGCUUCGUGGUGUUCCCUGGCAUUGGGGAAAUAAAUGGGGUGUACCCAGGAAGACGUGAUUUUCAAAGCUAAUUAUGAAAACAUUUGUCAUUGGAAUCAGUGGGGUCACCCUCCCCGUGGUACCAGAGGUAUGCAUGCAAAUAAGACACCAACAACAGCUCCAAAGGACUUUGUUUGGCUGCAUUUUUGUGUACAUCUUUCUUCUGAGUACCUUCAUACUAGGGUAACAAAUGGCGGGAAGACAACACUGGCUAAGAAGUUGCAGAAACACCUCCCAAACUGCAGUGUCAUCUCUCAGGAUGAUUUCUUUAAGCCACAGUCAGAGAUAGAGACAGAUACAAACGGAUUUCUGCAGUAUGACGUGCUUGAAGCGCUUAACAUGGAAAAAAUGAUGUCUGCCAUUUCCUGCUGGAUGGAAAGCCCAAGACACUCUCCGGUAUCAACAGACUCCGGUAGCACCGAGGAAAUUCCCAUAUUAAUCAUUGAAGGCUUCCUUCUCUUUAACUAUAAGCCCCUUGACGCUCUGUGGAACAGAAGCUACUUUCUGACAAUUCCUUAUGAAGAGUGUAAGAGGAGGAGGAGUUUCCUCUGUAUUUUGAUAGUACAAGGGUCUACGAGCCCCCAGACGUCCCAGGGUACUUUGAUGGCCACGUGUGGCCCAUGUAUCUGAAGCACAGACAAGAAAUAGAGAACAUCACGUGGGAGAUUAUUUACCUAGAUGGAACCAAAUCAGAAGAGGACCUCUUUUCACAAGUGUAUGAAGAGCUAAAACAAGAACUAGCAAAGCAUAAGUGCUUGCAAGUAACAACAUAAAGUCGGAGUGCGCGGAAUCCUUCCUGGGAUGAAUUAGGAAACUCAAAGGAGUGUAUCUGAGAACCUUAACCAAGAUUCAACAAGUGCUUUGGUCUGAUAACAGCUGCUGGUUCGUUUGUUUGUGUUAUCACACGUGGUUUCUCUGACAUGUGGAACAGUAAAUGGUUAUCCACACACCACCAGACAGGGAUUUACCUUCAUGAGUUGUUCUUCCUCUAAGAUGUACGGAGAGAUAGCAUAGCUCACAAUGAGUCAGUUCGUCCGGACCAAUGAUUGUCAAACUUUUCUGAAUGGGACCCAGAGUACAAAAUAAGAUUCAUCACAAUCCAGUAUUUAUGUAAUCUCUUGUGCUUGAAUGUGGCUGUGUGUGUGUGUGUGUGUGUGUGUAUACACACCUAUCAAGUAUCACAAAGCAUUUACCUUAGAUUCAAUGCACACCGAUAUUUUUCUAUUUUUAAAUUCAUUUUAAAUAUUCUUUACCAUCUAAUAUCAAUGCCUAUUUCCUACAAAUAAAGGCUUUAGUGAGAGUAGCAGUCACAUUGAAUAGAUCAACAAUUUACCUAGAGUGUCCUUCUUGUGUGUGUUUUGUUACUGUUUCUUACAUGUGUGUAAAACCACUGGAUCAUUGUGUCACUUGUUUUGAUACUUUGUUAUAAUAGGGAGUAUUUUUGUUGUUGAUGUUUUAUUUUAUUUCUGUCAAACCAAUGGUCUAAAGUCACAGAAACCACUUAUGGUUACUCAGAAGAUCUGAAUUGUAUAAUUUUGGGGGGCCUUCUUCAACGCUGGAAUUUAAAUAUCUACUGUAUUGAUCGACCUCUUAUUUUUUAAGAGAUUGCUCCCAAUCCUCCCAAUCUUUACAAAUAGAAAUAUAUUGUUACAUUAACGUUAAUUGAUCUUUA
This is an RNA transcript of Mustela lutreola (European mink), 2005 nucleotides long. It is a transcript of the gene named nicotinamide riboside kinase 1, with no coding region annotated. The transcript is spliced from 10 exons. The record is from RefSeq and is a predicted model, not a curated record. NCBI's taxonomy places the organism in Eukaryota, Metazoa, Chordata, Mammalia, Carnivora, Mustelidae.